This 247-nucleotide long non-coding RNA is filed under the name Coturnix japonica (Japanese quail). RNAcentral describes it as "lncRNA (ENSCJPG00005002413.1)". The record is from RNAcentral. Lineage: Eukaryota; Metazoa; Chordata; Aves; Galliformes; Phasianidae.
UUGGUUUUCCUCUAAUCUAGCCAAGCUUUUCUUGAUUAACUCUGCUCUAACUUGUUUUUUUGGUUUUCCGCCUCUUCUAACCCGUUUUUUUUCUUGGUUUUCUCUGCUCCAACCUCGCUAUUCUGGGUUUUACUCCGCUCUAACUUCGCUUUUCUUGGUUUUCCUCCGCUCUAACCCCGCUUUUCUUGGUUUUCCUCCGCUCUAACCCCGCUUUUCUUGGUUUUCCUCUGCUCUAACUUAGCUUUUC